Molecule: ribosomal RNA, 1014 nt
Filed under: uncultured archaeon
Lineage: Archaea
Description: bacterial SSU rRNA
Rfam family: Archaeal small subunit ribosomal RNA
Source: RNAcentral
AGUGCGAGGGCAUAGAGCCCUCGCUUUUCUGGACCGUAAGGUGGUCUAGGAACAAGGGCUGGGCAAGACCGGUGCCAGCCGCCGCGGUAAUACCGGCAGCCCGAGUGAUGGCCGAUAUUAUUGGGCUAAAGCGUCCGUAGCCGGCCGGACAAGUCCGUUGGGAAAUCGACGCGCUCAACGCGUCGGCGUCCAGCGGAAACUGUCCGGCUUGGGGCCGGAAGACCUGAGGGGUACGUCCGGGGUAGGAGUGAAAUCCCGUAAUCCUGGACGGACCGCCGGUGGCGAAAGCGCCUCAGGAAGACGGACCCGACGGUGAGGGACGAAAGCCAGGGUCUCGAACCGGAUUAGAUACCCGGGUAGUCCUGGCCGUAAACAAUGCCCGCUAGGUGUGCCGCAGGCUACGAGCCUGCGCUGUGCCCUAGGGAAGCCGAGAAGCGGGCCGCCUGGGAAGUACGUCCGCAAGGAUGAAACUUAAAGGAAUUGGCGGGGGAGCACUACAACCGGAGGAGCCUGCGGUUUAAUUGGACUCAACGCCGGACAUCUCACCGGUCCCGACAGUAGUAACGACGGUCAGGUUGACGACCUUACCCGAGCUACUGAGAGGAGGUGCAUGGCCGCCGUCAGCUCGUACCGUGAGGCGUCCUGUUAAGUCAGGCAACGAGCGAGACCUGCACUCCUAAUUGCCAGCAAUACCCCUGUGGUAGUUGGGUACAUUAGGAGGACUGCCGCUGCUAAAGCGGAGGAAGGAACAGGCAACGGUAGGUCAGUAUGCCCCGAAUGGACCGGGCAACACGCGGGCUACAAUGGCUGAGACAAUGGGAUGCGACGCCGAGAGGUGGAGCUAAUCCCCUAAACUCGGUCAUAGUUCGGAUUGCGGGCUGAAACCCGCCCGCAUGAAGCUGGAUUCGGUAGUAAUCGCGUGUCAGAAGCGCGCGGUGAAUACGUCCCUGCUCCUUGCACACACCGCCCGUCAAAGCACCCGAGUGAGGUCCGGAUGAAGCCACCAUCCGGUGG